UUCUGGCCGCACGCGCGCUACACUGACGGAGCCAGCGAGUACUCCCUUGGCCGGAAGGCCUGGGUAAUCUUGUUAAACUCCGUCGUGCUGGGGAUAGAGCAUUGCAAUUAUUGCUCUUCAACGAGGAAUCCCUAGUAAGCGCAAGUCAUCAGCUUGCGUUGAUUACGUCCCUGCCCUUUGUACACACCGCCCGUCGCUACUACCGAUUGAAUGGCUCAGUGAGGCGUCCGGACUGGCCCAGAGAGGUGGGCAACUACCACUCAGGGCCGGAAAGCUCUCCAAACUCGGUCAUUUAGAGGAAGUAAAAGUCGUAACAAGGUCUCCGUUGGUGAACCAGCGGAGGGAUCAUUACCGAGUUUACAACUCCCAAACCCAAUGUGAACGUUACCAAACUGUUGCCUCGGCGGGAUCUCUGCCCCGGGUGCGUCGCAGCCCCGGACCAAGGCGCCCGCCGGAGGACCAACCAAAACUCUUUUUGUAUACCCCCUCGCGGGUUUUUUUAUAAUCUGAGCCUUCUCGGCGCCUCUCGUAGGCGUUUCGAAAAUGAAUCAAAACUUUCAACAACGGAUCUCUUGGUUCUGGCAUCGAUGAAGAACGCAGCGAAAUGCGAUAAGUAAUGUGAAUUGCAGAAUUCAGUGAAUCAUCGAAUCUUUGAACGCACAUUGCGCCCGCCAGUAUUCUGGCGGGCAUGCCUGUCCAACGUCAUUUCAACCUCGAACCCCUCCGGGGGGUCGGCGUUGGGGAUCGGCCCUGCCUCUUGGCGGGGGCCGUCUCCCAAAAACAAUGGCGGUUUGGCGCAGCCUCUCCUGCGCAGUAAUUUGCACACUCCCAUCGGGAGGGCGGGGCGUCCCAGCCGUUAAACACCAACUUUUGAAAUGUUGACCUCGGAUCAGGGAGGAAAAACCCCCUGAACUUUAACCUUAUCAAUAAGCGGAGGGAAAAAAAAACCAAAGGGGAUUGCCCCC
This 965-nucleotide ribosomal RNA is filed under the name Hypocreaceae sp. LM303. Its description in RNAcentral is "bacterial SSU rRNA". The stretch from base 1 to 351 matches the Rfam family "Eukaryotic small subunit ribosomal RNA", at positions 1481 to 1831 of the family's 1831-position model. Lineage: Eukaryota; Fungi; Ascomycota; Sordariomycetes; Hypocreales; Hypocreaceae. The record is from RNAcentral.